GGAGGGGGGCAAGCGUUGUUCGGAAUUACUGGGGGGCGUAAAGGGGCGCGUAGGCGGGAAGAUCGAGUCAGGGGUGAAAGGCCUGGGCUCAACCCGGGAACUGCCUUUGAAACUGGUUUCUAGAGUACGGGAGAGGAUGGCGGAAUUCCCAGUGUAGAGGUGAAAUUCGUAGAUAUUGGGAAGAACACCGGUGGCGAAGGCGGCCAUCUGGCCCGGUACUGACGCUAAGGCGCGAAAGCGUGGGGAGCAAACAGGAUUAGAUACCCUGGUAGUCCACGCCGUAAACGAUGUGUGCUAGCCGUUGGGGCUUCAGGUCUCGGUGGCGCAGCUAACGCGUUAAGCACACCGCCUGGGGAGUACGGCCGCAAGGUUA
RNAcentral lists this ribosomal RNA (373 nucleotides) under uncultured organism. RNAcentral's name for it is "partial 16S ribosomal RNA". It matches the Rfam family "Bacterial small subunit ribosomal RNA", at positions 526 to 896 of the family's 1533-position model. The record is from RNAcentral.